Molecule: long non-coding RNA, 105 nt
Organism: Thalassophryne amazonica
Lineage: Eukaryota; Metazoa; Chordata; Actinopteri; Batrachoidiformes; Batrachoididae
Exons: 3
Source: RefSeq, a predicted model, not a curated record
AAGCAGGCCAGCUGAAGAAAAGAACCCCCAGGCUCCACUUAAAACCAGCAGUGUGCUUCCCACGCAGCACCCUGUGUGAACCAGCUGGUCUGAGUCCAGAAAAAA